AUCUAUUUAGUAUAAAGUAUAUUUGACUUCCAAUCAAAAGGUUUGGAUAAUUCCAAAAUAGAUA
RNAcentral lists this transfer RNA (64 nucleotides) under Epeorus sp. MT-2014. RNAcentral's name for it is "tRNA-Gly". It matches the Rfam family "tRNA". Rfam says of the family: Transfer RNA (tRNA) molecules are approximately 80 nucleotides in length. RNAcentral also lists the same sequence under 5 other names. The record is from RNAcentral. Lineage: Eukaryota; Metazoa; Arthropoda; Insecta; Ephemeroptera; Heptageniidae.